Molecule: ribosomal RNA, 674 nt
Filed under: Enterobacter cloacae
Lineage: Bacteria; Pseudomonadati; Pseudomonadota; Gammaproteobacteria; Enterobacterales; Enterobacteriaceae
Description: bacterial SSU rRNA
Rfam family: Bacterial small subunit ribosomal RNA
Source: RNAcentral
GUAGCGGUGAAAUGCGUAGAGAUCUGGAGGAAUACCGGUGGCGAAGGCGGCCCCCUGGACGAAGACUGACGCUCAGGUGCGAAAGCGUGGGGAGCACACAGGAUUAGAUACCCUGGUAGUACACGCCGUAAACGAUGUCGACUUGGAGGUUGUGCCCUUGAGGCGUGGCUUCCGGAGCUAACGCGUUAAGUCGACCGCCUGGGGAGUACGGCCGCAAGGUUAAAACUCAAAUGAAUUGACGGGGGCCCGCACAAGCGGUGGAGCAUGUGGUUUAAUUCGAUGCAACGCGAAGAACCUUACCUGGUCUUGACAUCCACAGAACUUGGCAGAGAUGCCUUGGUGCCUUCGGGAACUGUGAGACAGGUGCUGCAUGGCUGUCGUCAGCUCGUGUUGUGAAAUGUUGGGUUAAGUCCCGCAACGAGCGCAACCCUUAUCUUUUGUUGCCAGCGGUUCGGCCGGGAACUCAAAGGAGACUGCCAGUGAUAAACUGGAGGAAGGUGGGGAUGACGUCAAGUCAUCAUGGCCCUUACGACCAGGGCUACACACGUGCUACAAUGGCGCAUACAAAGAGAAGCAAUCUCGCGAGAGCUAGCGGACCUCAUAAAGUGCGUCGUAGUCCGGAUUGGAGUCUGCAACUCGACUCCAUGAAGUCGGAAUCGCUAGUAAUCGUGAAU